UUAUUCGCAUUAAUAAAAACCUCGCAAUAAUUUCUGAAUUUACAUUACAUUGGUACAAUCAUGACUUAAACAUGUUAAAAGAUGCAUUGUGAUAUAUUUGUAAAUUUUCAUUUAAAAAGUAAGAUAAUUUUAUCAAAACUUAAGUCACUUCUCCCUCAAGCAAAGUUGACCUUCAACCAUGUCAAUGAAUUUAAAUCUUCUCGAUUGUCCCUUAAUUAUGUUGAGAUCCUCAAACUGCUAGUCUCAUGUGUAUCUGAUGAAGGACAUUCUAAAAACAUGUCAUGUGCACUGAAAUUAGUAUCAUAUGUAUGUAAAAUAAUCAUUCUAGUUUUGCUUUAGUUCUUAAAAUGAAUACAGUUGACAAGUUCAGUGUAAAAUAUUUUAGUGUCAUGUUGCUAAAGACACUUCUUAUACAUAGAUAUUAAAGACAAUUUUGUAAUGCUUGUUAAAACAGCAGUUUCAUCUAAAUGCACAUAUUUAUUGAAUUGAUCUAGUCUUUCCAUUUAAAAUUGAUAGGUAUUUUAUUUCAAUACUAUUGCAAUUAAAUAAAUGCAAAUGUAAAAAUAACUUAUUAUUAUAACUGAUCAAAAGAUUGGUAUCAAAACAUAGGGUUCCACGAAUAAAAAAGCUUGCAACUUGAGUCAAUACUGUAAUAUUAAAAACUAAUAACGUAUUUCAGUGUUGUCUUCUAAAAAAUUAAUUGUGUCAUCCUUGUUCUUAUAAUAUGUAUGUUUUAUUGUUUUUCUUAUUUUAUAUUUGCAAGAAAUUAAGAGCAGUAUGAUAUGCUUGAUAUUAUUGUUGCUUAAUUGUGGGUAAGACGACAUGGUAUGUGUGCAAUUUGUGUGAGUCAGAGUGAACCAAUACGUGUAAACAUUUGUGUAAUAGGGAAGAGAAAUAUGUCAAUAAACAUUUAAUAAAGACA
This is a long non-coding RNA of Mytilus californianus (California mussel), 922 nucleotides long. RefSeq lists it as uncharacterized. Lineage: Eukaryota; Metazoa; Mollusca; Bivalvia; Mytilida; Mytilidae. The transcript has 2 exons. The record is from RefSeq and is a predicted model, not a curated record.